This 342-nucleotide unclassified non-coding RNA is filed under the name soil metagenome. RNAcentral describes it as "partial contains 5.8S ribosomal RNA, internal transcribed spacer 2, and large subunit ribosomal RNA". The stretch from base 1 to 120 matches the Rfam family "5.8S ribosomal RNA", at positions 35 to 154 of the family's 154-position model. The record is from RNAcentral.
GAUGAAGAACGCAGCGAAAUGCGAUAAGUAAUGUGAAUUGCAGAAUUCAGUGAAUCAUCGAAUCUUUGAACGCACAUUGCGCCCGCUAGUAUUCUGGCGGGCAUGCCUGUCCGAGCGUCAUUUCAACCCUCAAGCCCCCGGGCUUGGUGUUGGGGAUCGGCGAGCCUCCGCGCCCGCCGUCCCCUAAAUCUAGUGGCGGUCUCGCUGUAGCUUCCUCUGCGUAGUAGCACACCUCGCACUGGGAAACAGCGCGGCCACGCCGUUAAACCCCCAACUUCUGAACGUUUGACCUCGGAUCAGGUAGGAAUACCCGCUGAACUUAAGCAUACAAUAAGCGGAGGA